This 376-nucleotide ribosomal RNA is filed under the name uncultured bacterium. RNAcentral's name for it is "bacterial SSU rRNA". It matches the Rfam family "Bacterial small subunit ribosomal RNA", at positions 524 to 898 of the family's 1533-position model. The record is from RNAcentral.
UACGUAGGUGGCGAGCGUUGUCCGGAUUUACUGGGCGUAAAGGAUGCGUAGGCGGAUAUUUAAGUGAGAUGUGAAAUACCCGAGCUUAACUUGGGUGCUGCAUUUCAAACUGGAUAUCUAGAGUGUGGGAGAGGAGAAUGGAAUUCCUAGUGUAGCGGUGAAAUGCGUAGAGAUUAGGAAGAACACCAGUGGCGAAGGCGAUUCUCUGGACCAUAACUGACGCUGAGGCAUGAAAGCGUGGGUAGCAAACAGGAUUAGAUACCCUGGUAGUCCACGCCGUAAACGAUGAGUACUAGGUGUAGGAGGUAUCGACUCCUUCUGUGCCGCAGUUAACACAAUAAGUACUCCGCCUGGGAAGUACGAUCGCAAGAUUAAA